GAUGAACGCUGGCGGCGUGCCUAAUACAUGCAAGUCGAGCGAACGGACGAGAAGCUUGCUUCUCUGAUGUUAGCGGCGGACGGGUGAGUAACACGUGGAUAACCUACCUAUAAGACUGGGAUAACUUCGGGAAACCGGUGCUAAUACCGGAUAAUAUUUUGUACCGCAUGGUUCAAAAGUGAAAGACGGUCUUGCUGUCACUUAUAGAUGGAUCCGCGCUGCAUUAGCUAGUUGGUAAGGUAACGGCUUACCAAGGCAACGAUGCAUAGCCGACCUGAGAGGGUGAUCGGCCACACUGGAACUGAGACACGGUCCAGACUCCUACGGGAGGCAGCAGUAGGGAAUCUUCCGCAAUGGGCGAAAGCCUGACGGAGCAACGCCGCGUGAGUGAUGAAGGUCUUCGGAUCGUAAAACUCUGUUAUUAGGGAAGAACAUAUGUGUAAGUAACUGUGCACAUCUUGACGGUACCUAAUCAGAAAGCCACGGCUAACUACGUG
RNAcentral lists this ribosomal RNA (497 nucleotides) under uncultured bacterium. RNAcentral describes it as "partial 16S ribosomal RNA". It matches the Rfam family "Bacterial small subunit ribosomal RNA", at positions 28 to 507 of the family's 1533-position model. The record is from RNAcentral.